UGGUGGAGUGAUUUGUCUUGGUUAAUUCCGUUAACGAACGAGACCUCAGCCUGCUAAAUAGAUCGACGAACCUAUGGUUCGGACGUAUCUUCUUAGAGGGACUCUUGGUGCGAACCAAGGGAAGUUUGAGGCAAUAACA
Molecule: ribosomal RNA, 139 nt
Filed under: uncultured eukaryote
Lineage: Eukaryota
Description: partial 18S ribosomal RNA
Rfam family: Eukaryotic small subunit ribosomal RNA
Source: RNAcentral